This 87-nucleotide transfer RNA is filed under the name Solirubrobacteraceae bacterium. Its description in RNAcentral is "tRNA-Ser". It matches the Rfam family "tRNA". From Rfam's summary of the family: Transfer RNA (tRNA) molecules are approximately 80 nucleotides in length. RNAcentral also lists the same sequence under 1 other name. Lineage: Bacteria; Bacillati; Actinomycetota; Thermoleophilia; Solirubrobacterales; Solirubrobacteraceae. The record is from RNAcentral.
GGAGGGGUGGCAGAGCGGUUGAAUGCACUGGUCUUGAAAACCAGAGUCCGUGAAAGCGGAUCGCGGGUUCGAAUCCCGCCCCCUCCG